GAUGAAGAACGUAGUGAAAUGCGAUAAGUAAUGUGAAUUGCAGAAUUCAGUGAAUCAUCGAAUCUUUGAACGCACAUAGCGCCCGCCAGUAUUCUGGCGGGCAUGCCUGUUCGAGCGUCAUUACAACCCUCAGGCCCCCGGGCCUGGCGUUGGGGAUCGGCGGAGCCCCCCGUGGGCACACGCCGUCCCCCAAAUACAGUGGCGGUCCCGCCGCAGCUUCCAUCGCGUAGUAGCUAACACCUCGCGACUGGAGAGCGGCGCGGCCACGCCGUAAAACACCCAACUCUUCUGAAGUUGACCUCGAAUCAGGUAGGAAUACCCGCUGAACUUAAGCAUAUCAAUAAGCGGAGGA
This 352-nucleotide unclassified non-coding RNA is filed under the name soil metagenome. Its description in RNAcentral is "partial contains 5.8S ribosomal RNA, internal transcribed spacer 2, and large subunit ribosomal RNA". The stretch from base 1 to 120 matches the Rfam family "5.8S ribosomal RNA", at positions 35 to 154 of the family's 154-position model. The record is from RNAcentral.